Chenopodium quinoa (quinoa) is the source of this 1304-nucleotide RNA transcript. RefSeq lists it as uncharacterized. The record is from RefSeq and is a predicted model, not a curated record. Lineage: Eukaryota; Viridiplantae; Streptophyta; Magnoliopsida; Caryophyllales; Amaranthaceae. The transcript has 3 exons.
AAUGGCAAGGCAAAACACCAUCUGUAAACCAAAUUAUUGCUCAAUAUACAAGUGAUAAAUUCAAAAACCAAAGGCCAACAGAAGAAGAUUUUCUCACCAACUUUUUGGUAGUUGCUGUGAAUUGUUUGAUGAAGUGUAUUUCAAACAACCAAUGCCAUUUCAAGUUUCUGUUUUCUAUGAUGGACAAAGAAAAAAUAAAAAACUUGAAUUGGUGUCAGUACGUGUUUGACUCUCUCAUCAGUUGCCAUGUGACAUGGAGAAAGAGUGGAGGAAAAGGAUUCUACAAUGGACCACUGCAAUUUCUGAUGGUAAGUUUACAACACACAAUAGUAAAUUAUAAAAUGUUCAUUUUAGUAACAAUGAAUGUUCAUUAACAAAAUGUUAAAUAUCGAUUUCGUCUAAAAUUUUAAUCUUUUAUAUUAAUUGUUCAUUUGUAUUAUAUUAUAUGUUCAUUUAUAGUAAUGGGUUUUGGUGCAGCUGUUCUACUUUGACAGAGUUCAAAGAUUGAACAAAAAACAACCAAGAACAAUUCCAAUAAUUUCUUGUUGGAAAAGGGAUAUGUCACUUGAAAGGAUAAAAACAGAAAAUGAUUUGAACUAUGGAUAUGGAAAAGUCCUUCCAAGAAUAGAAGAAAAGCCUGAAGACAAUCCUAAGGUCUUUAUGAAUGAAUUUGCAUCAAUGGUACAAGAAGUUGGUGCAUCUUUGGCAAGACUUUCUACCAAAUUGGUUAAGGCAAAAGAGCUCUUCCCUGGGAAUCAGUUGGUCAAGAAGGUAGAUGAAGUGUUGGGAAAGAUGGCAAGAGAACCAUCAAUUCUCAGCCAAGAUGAAGAAAUAUUUGGAUCAGAGGAUUUUUUGAAUGCCAUAGCACAAAUUGAGAAGGAACUGAUGGAGGCAAGUGAAGUAGAAAAAAAAGAAAAUAGGAAAUGAGAAGGAAUAUGAUAUAAGGAAGGCAUUCAGUUUGGGUUGCAACUUAACUCCCCCAACUCCAACAACUGAAGCACAUAUUAAUGUUGCAGCCACAACUUCAACAACAACUGAUGCAAAUGUUUCUUCUAAGCCAGAAGAGGGUAAAGCUUUAAUAUCUAUGUACAAUUAUGAAAAGUAUAAUGUUCAUUUAUAAAAUAAUAAGUUUGUUUAGUCUAAAUAUUCAAAAAAGUAUAUAUUCAGAAUAACAAAUGUUCAUUUACAUUAACAAUUUCAUAUAUUUUAAAUCAACAGAAAGAGUUGGAGGUUCAAAUUCUGAAGAACCACAAGAUGGAGGAAAUUCAAAAAAAGGUAAAAAGUUCACUUAUAUAGUAUUAAAU